This is a long non-coding RNA of Sorex fumeus (smoky shrew), 665 nucleotides long. RefSeq lists it as uncharacterized. The record is from RefSeq and is a predicted model, not a curated record. The transcript is spliced from 5 exons. NCBI's taxonomy places the organism in Eukaryota, Metazoa, Chordata, Mammalia, Eulipotyphla, Soricidae.
GGGUUCCCUGGUCCCCGCGUUGGGGCGGGGAGCGCGGCGCCGGGGGAGGGGGCGGGAGCGGCGGCGCGGGCCCCCCGGAGGGGGCACCUGGUGGAGGCGCCGCCACCCGCCGCGCCAGCGCCGCGCGAACCCAGGGCCCGGGCCCCUGCGCGGGCUCGAGAGCUCGCCCGGCCGGGGGGCUUCCUUCGCCGCCGCUGACAGGUUUUGACCUUUAGGAGAGAACCAGUCUGGAGAACAACCUAACUUCUUUGAUUGAACACUCACAUAAUGCUUUGGAACAUUAUAGGAGAUUAAGACUUGAUAAGAGUAGAAUGAAGACCAUUAUUAAACAAUUGCUCCAGCAAUUCUUACCUUUCUACUACUUGAUGAAGAUAUCUUUUUUUACUGCAAGGAAUGAGAUGCUGUUUGUGAAUUAAACUUUUGUCAAGGGAAGGAGUGUCCCAGGUGGUGCAGAAGUGCCACCAGCCUUUAUCUAGAGACAUUCAGUGCCAUGGCCCUCUAGGAUGUGCUCCAACACUAUUCAGGCCCUGUGGCACCGGGGAUACCCAAGCCACACCUGGUACUGUGGUUCUGGGAAUUCCCUAUGAUGUCUUUGCUUUUUUAAAGCUAUGUGCAAUGAAGAAAAUGUUUAACCUUUCUGUUAAAUUUACUGUGUAAGGUGCUUG